Molecule: transfer RNA, 68 nt
Filed under: Marmota monax (woodchuck)
Lineage: Eukaryota; Metazoa; Chordata; Mammalia; Rodentia; Sciuridae
Description: tRNA.Gly
Rfam family: tRNA (bases 5-65)
About the family: Transfer RNA (tRNA) molecules are approximately 80 nucleotides in length. Their secondary structure includes four short double-helical elements and three loops (D, anti-codon, and T loops).
Source: RNAcentral
GGAUUGUGGCUCAGUGAUAGAGUGCUUGCCUGCCAUGUGUGAGGAACUGGGUUCGAUUCUCAGCACCA